Molecule: ribosomal RNA, 253 nt
Filed under: uncultured bacterium
Lineage: Bacteria
Description: partial 16S ribosomal RNA
Rfam family: Bacterial small subunit ribosomal RNA
Source: RNAcentral
UACGUAGGUGGCGAGCGUUGUCCGGAUUUACUGGGCGUAAAGAGCGCGCAGGCGGUCGUACAAGUCGAACGUGAAAUCCCUGGGCUCAACCCAGGAACUGCGUCCGAUACUGGAAGGCUUGAAUCCGGGAGAGGGAUGCGGAAUUCCAGGUGUAGCGGUGAAAUGCGUAGAUAUCUGGAGGAACACCGGUGGCGAAGGCGGCAUCCUGGACCGGUAUUGACGCUGAGGCGCGAAAGCCAGGGGAGCAAACGGG